CCAGACAGCCAGGAUGUUGGCUUAGAAGCAGCCAUCAUUUAAAGAAAGCGUAAUAGCUCACUGGUCGAGUCGGCCUGCGCGGAAGAUGUAACGGGGCUAAACCAUGCACCGAAGCUGCGGCAGCGACACUAUGUGUUGUUGGGUAGGGGAGCGUUCUGUAAGCCUGUGAAGGUGUGCUGUGAGGCAUGCUGGAGGUAUCAGAAGUGCGAAUGCUGACAUAAGUAACGAUAAAGCGGGUGAAAAGCCCGCUCGCCGGAAGACCAAGGGUUCCUGUCCAACGUUAAUCGGGGCAGGGUGAGUCGACCCCUAAGGCGAGGCCGAAAGGCGUAGUCGAUGGGAAACAGGUUAAUAUUCCUGUACUUGGUGUUACUGCGAAGGGGGGACGGAGAAGGCUAUGUCGGCCGGGCGACGGUUGUCCCGGUUUAAGCGUGUAGGCUGACUUUCCAGGCAAAUCCGGAAGGUUAAGGCUGAGGCGUGAUGACGAGGCACCACGGUGCUGAAGUGACAAAUGCCCUGCUUCCAGGAAAAGCCUCUAAGCAUCAGGUAACAUCAAAUCGUACCCCAAACCGACACAGGUGGUCAGGUAG
RNAcentral lists this ribosomal RNA (587 nucleotides) under Cronobacter sakazakii. RNAcentral's name for it is "partial 23S ribosomal RNA". It matches the Rfam family "Bacterial large subunit ribosomal RNA", at positions 1085 to 1674 of the family's 2925-position model. The record is from RNAcentral. Lineage: Bacteria; Pseudomonadati; Pseudomonadota; Gammaproteobacteria; Enterobacterales; Enterobacteriaceae.